This 183-nucleotide non-coding RNA is filed under the name Bacillota bacterium. RNAcentral's name for it is "6S RNA". It matches the Rfam family "6S / SsrS RNA". Rfam says of the family: E. coli 6S RNA was the first non coding RNA to be sequenced, but its function was unknown until recently. It consists of 184 nucleotides that fold into an extended hairpin structure with a large single-stranded internal bulge. The record is from RNAcentral. Lineage: Bacteria; Bacillati; Bacillota.
AUAUAAAUGUCUAGGAAAGUUUACUUCAUAUAAAACCGACUAUGAUAGAUAAAAGGGAAUCUAAUUGGAUUGCGGUGUAGAAGACCUAACCAUUAAGUGAGUAGGGAUCCUAAAGUAAUUCAUGUGAUGCCCACCUGCGAGGAGCGGGUUUUUAUCAGAGUAAGCUCUCUAGGCGUUUUUUUA